This 68-nucleotide transfer RNA is filed under the name Marmota monax (woodchuck). RNAcentral's name for it is "tRNA.Val". The record is from RNAcentral. Lineage: Eukaryota; Metazoa; Chordata; Mammalia; Rodentia; Sciuridae.
GGAUUGUGGCUCAGCGGUAGAGCGCUGGUCUAACACGUGUGAGGCCCUGAGUUCGAUCUUCAGCACCA